This 591-nucleotide ribosomal RNA is filed under the name uncultured organism. Its description in RNAcentral is "eukaryotic LSU rRNA". The stretch from base 164 to 317 matches the Rfam family "5.8S ribosomal RNA". The record is from RNAcentral.
UAUGAGGCAUGUGCACACUCAGCUCAUCCACUCUUAAACCCUAUGUGCACCUAUGUAGAGUUUGGUGAAAGUCAGCCGAAAGGCUGAUAAGAUCCUUCUCUAUGUCUUUUAUACAAACGUUUUAGUUAUAGAAUGUUACCUUGCAUUUAAUGCAUUAUAGUAUAACUUUCAGCAACGGAUCUCUUGGCUCUCGCAUCGAUGAAGAACGCAGCGAAAUGCGAUAAGUAAUGUGAAUUGCAGAAUUCAGUGAAUCAUCGAAUCUUUGAACGCAUCUUGCGCCCUUUGGUAUUCCGAAGGGCAUGCCUGUUUGAGUGUCAUGAAAUUCUCAACCUCUGAAAUUUUUAUAAUUGAAGAGGCUUGGACUUGGAGGUUGUGCUGGCUUUUUUUAAAGUACGGCUCCUCUUAAAUAUAUUAGUGCGAAACUUAUGGAUCGCUCUUCAGUGUGAUAAUUAUCGACGCUGUGGGUGUGAAGUAUUUUUAAUAUUUCGUGCUUCUAAUAGUCCUUUAUAAGGACAGACAUAAACUUUGACAUCUGACCUCAAAUCAGGUAGGACUACCCGCUGAACUUAAGCAUAUCAAUAAGCGGAGGAA